Molecule: ribosomal RNA, 497 nt
Filed under: uncultured bacterium
Lineage: Bacteria
Description: partial 16S ribosomal RNA
Rfam family: Bacterial small subunit ribosomal RNA
Source: RNAcentral
GAUGAACGCUGGCGGCGUGCCUAAUACAUGCAAGUCGAGCGAACAGACGAGGAGCUUUCUCCUCUGACGUUAGCGGCGGACGGGUGAGUAACACGUGGAUAACCUACCUAUAAGACUGGGAUAACUUCGGGAAACCGGAGCUAAUACCGGAUAAUAUAUUGAACCGCAUGGUUCAAUAGUGAAAGACGGUUUUGCUGUCACUUAUAGAUGGAUCCGCGCCGCAUUAGCUAGUUGGUAAGGUAACGGCUUACCAAGGCAACGAUGCGUAGCCGACCUGAGAGGGUGAUCGGCCACACUGGAACUGAGACACGGUCCAGACUCCUACGGGAGGCAGCAGUAGGGAAUCUUCCGCAAUGGGCGAAAGCCUGACGGAGCAACGCCGCGUGAGUGAUGAAGGUCUUCGGAUCGUAAAACUCUGUUAUUAGGGAAGAACAAAUGUGUAAGUAACUAUGCACGUAUUGACGGUACCUAAUCAGAAAGCCACGGCUAACUACGUG